This 7021-nucleotide long non-coding RNA is filed under the name Citrus sinensis (sweet orange). Its description in RNAcentral is "long non-coding RNA (CSIN_LNC002238)". The record is from RNAcentral. Lineage: Eukaryota; Viridiplantae; Streptophyta; Magnoliopsida; Sapindales; Rutaceae.
UAUCAGAUGUUCUACUUAUUUAUUUUUUUAACAUAAUAAAAUAAAACAAAAUAACUUGUCUUGUUUAAUUCAAUUAACAUUGGCAUCUAAUAAGAAAUGUGAACCAAAAGUAUGAUGUCCAAAUAGAAACAUAUUUCAUACCUCAAAGUAAGACCCGAAUGGAACGUCAUGUGCCUGUUGGACUGUCUCAAAAACCUAAAAGAAAAGACACAUGUUUAAUCCAAAAUUUACAAGAAAAAAUCAUUGACGUCAGAUUUUAACAAGCAAGGUACCAUUUGAAGAUAAUAAGACAGAAAUAAUAACAAUGCGAAUUUUUUAAAACUAUUAGAUAAUAAAUAAGAAAAAACAAUAGCAAGCACAUUAUCAAUGUUGCCAAAAAUUUAAGGCAAUGAGACAGAUAGCCUUACAAAUAUUUUCUUAUCUGGUGAUAAAACUGCAUGCUGAUACUCCGUCAUGGCUGUGUCAGGUGGACACAUGGGACUGUUACAGAGAGAUCUAAAUGUGAUCUCUCUUACUUGACCAUCAUAUUCAUCUGCAGCAUGCCACUGUCCCAUCUGGAUAAAGCAUGAGAUAGUAAGCAAAUAUUUCAAUAUCAACCAACCGAUAUUCAGAAUCCAGAAAUAAAAUCUUCUUCUUAGAUGGAAAAGCACACGGAACUGGAAGGAUAAGUGAUCCAUAUGGAUAAUCAUCAGAAACAAAACUGCUUACCCGGACCCUUAUCAACCCCCAACCCUAAACAGAAGCUCUAUUUGGAUGGACAAGAGCAGGCCUUUUGAGGCAAUAUUUGCCCAUUGAACUAGCAAUUGGGCUAAUAUAAUCAUCUGAACUUCCCAAGUAGUCCAUACAGUGUACACAGGAUAAUUAGAACAAACAGAAGCAAUACUCAGUGCUAACCAAACAAGGUUCCAAGUCCUACAUCAGAAUACAUAACGUUGUUUCCUCCAUAAUUUGGUUUUUAAGGAACCGUUGUCCUAGACAUCAUGGAGAGCACUACCAGCUCAGCAUUAGUCCUAAUGCCUCUAAUAAGCUUAACUCUAGAAUGUGCAAAUCCUAACUGCCAACGAUAUAACAGAAAAAUGGGAAAUAUCCUUUCCAUACAAUCUUCUUUUCUAUAAUUUAACAUAUGUUUUAAUUAUCCUUGACAUUCCACUGGCUGGAAUGCCUAAACCAGGUAUGCAACAUAUAAACUUCCAUAUCCAAUUUAGGUACUUAUAUAAUCAGCACCAUGUUUAAGGUACUUUUGCAUCCUUUAAAGAUUUAGCUCGUAAUCCUUUUUAACAUAUCAACAUGGAUAUUCCUUAAAUCAUAAAUGCAUUACCAUGAGAAGCUCUUUUGUUCUUUUUCUUCAUGGUAAAGAAAAAUACAUUGAUCAAAUAUAGAGAAUACAAAAGGAAGAAACAAUUUUCUAGGGUCUAUGAUUUCAAAAAAUGGACUUGGACUUACAACAAGAUUAGUAUCCUUUCUAGCUGCACGAUACUCAUUUGUGAAUGUAGAAUCAUCACUAAACAAUAAAGUAAAGAACUGUUCCGCUGUGCAUGGGAAAACAUCCUGCAAAAUACAUUAAUGCAUUCUAUAAUGGUAAUAACACAACUUAAAAAUUCAUAGACCAUGAAAGAAGGAAAAAGAUGAUGCGUACAUUGUAUAUACCAACAAGAACCUCUUCUUUGAUAAACGGUUGAAGCUUUUCAGGUUUGGUGACUGUUUCUUCCGCAAUCUUAGCCUGCCUUCUACUACCUCUAAUGGAGCUACUAUGUGCACGCAACGCCGAUUCUGCCUUCUCCUAUACAGCAGCAAGCAGAUUGAAUUAACUUUUUUCUUCAUUAAAUCAUACUAGUCAGAGAAAAAGUUCAGCAAAAUACAUAUCCAAGAUCUGAUCCUAAUCCCAUUUCAAACGGGUUAGAUGUAUCUUGUCAGGGCAUAUGCCCAAAAUAAGUGUAGCAGCUCGGAUACCAAAAGUUUCAGCAAAACUGAAAAAACUAUCAAUUCCAACAAGGAAGACAACCAUCAAUGCCUGACACAACAGGAUAGAAAACUCCUUCACUGUUAGUAACAUUAAAGAGACUGACUUUAACUUCUAAAAUAGAACACAAUAGUUGAACUUUGGCCAUUCUAUGGUGGUAAUUAAAUGUGGGCGUCUUAAAAAUGUGUUGACAAAGCCAUGACUACUUAGCAGUUUAGAUUAAUUAAUAGAUGUGCUCAUAAUAUGUACAUAUUUUUUUUUAAUAUGUAUGUUUUAUUCUCAACAUUAGUGAAUGAACUCCAGUAAAGGGGUACAUUCUGCCACAUGAGAAGUGUGUGAGAUGUUUUAGUAGCAGCAAUAGAGAAAAAGAGCUAUAUAGACAACAGAGAGGAAAUAUAAUAUCUACAUUGUUUCUGUAUUAUAUUACUAAUAAACCAGAAGUAUUGUAUUACUAAAAACCCAGUAUAAGAGUUCUAUUUCGCUAAAUCAAGAACUCGGAAAGACAGCUCAUUGAUGAUACGACUCUUAGUAAAUACCAGACAAUGAAACCCCAUGCAUUCAUAUUUUAACUUCAACAAGUUGGAAAGAACUAUGUGAAUCUACUUAUUUCCAUAGUCAUUAUGGGGUUAGGAACCACUUGGCGAUUUGUGUCAGACCUCUUCACAAUUUUAAACGAUGACCAUUUUAUCCAUACGGUUGAUAACCAAGAUUAGAGUUGUAAAGGUAAAUAAUGAUAAAAGUUACAGACACAAUGAUUCAUGAAGCAAUACGAACGAACCUUCUUCUCAGCCUCUAACAUUUUAUGAUAGUUCUUUGCAAUACGUUGCAAUUGUCUCAAGGCAUGAUUCCUGUUCCAAAAUGAUGCAAAUUUAUAUCUGACCCUACCUGAAAAUGAAAGAGAAAAUAAAGGCCAAAAAGAAACCUCAACAACUCAUAUCAAACUGAAAAUGCAUCCAAAUCACACAUGAUGUUCCACUAUUCUGAAAAAACACAUUCAAUAACCUAACCAGAACACAAAAGUAAUAAUAAAACCCAUCAAGGAAAGCCAAUACACUGGAUAUUAGUUCGUACAAUAAUUAGAUGUUUUAAAUGGAAGUCCAUAUUCAAAAAUAUUACAAUACACUCCAGUCAUCAUAGAAGUGCAUGAUUUUCAACAAACAAGAAAUUGACCUAGUGUUUUACUCCGACAUGACAUUUGAAACACAAGCAUAACAGUAACCUUAAAAAGGGCAUAUUUCAGAGAAUACUCUAUAAAUUUCUAAGGUGAGAGCUGGUGUAUUUAAAUGUAACUUUUCAUUUAAAUCGAAAUAUCAAUCUGCACAUCAGACUCAGAAUUUUUUUUACAGAGCAACCACUGAAGCCCUAAGGGAAAGCAAUGAAAAAUAAUUAUUCAGAGGCAGCAUUAUGUAAUGCUAGCAUAUCAAGCAAGGAUAGUUCGAACUUAAGAAGACUGAAACAGCUUACAAACUUGCAUCAGGACACACAAAUACCACACCACAAUUAUUGAAAUCAAACACAUUCUUAUACAAACAAAACUAAUUAAAAAAGGAAGUAACAGGAAAGUUAGCUAAAUUCAUAAUUAGGGUGAACCUUACAUGCAAUCAAGAUUCUAACUGAGUGGGGCACUUUUUCAGAAUCUUCAUGCACUCAAGUCUACUAAGUGAAUCCUAUGAGCUUUCUUGUAAUUUGGCCAAGCAACCAAGAGGCCCUCUCUUUUUUCCUUCUUCCCCUGCAUAUUCAGUGUCCUUACCUUCUCAAUUUCGAGACCAUACAAUGACUUUAGAACUUGCUUGAUCUAAAUCUUUGAAGCAGGGGGCAUGGUUUUGAAAGCAAUUUCUUUGGUAUUUUCAAAUGAAGACGGGAUGAGAAGCUUCAAAGGGAAAUCGAUAAGCAUGUUUUCAUGGUUCUUCAUCGAUCAAAUACCUCGUUUGGUUGUCAAGAAAUUAUAUGAGUGGCAAUUUCUUUGGUAUUUUCAAAUAAAAAUUUCGCUGCAACUUUUGAUGGCGACAGGAGAUGAAGUGCAUAGAAGUUGUUUAGAGAAGUUUUUCAACAACACUACUUGUCAUUGAUUGUUGGCCACUGUAAAGCGCAAACAAAGAUGUAACCACCAAUUUUAUUAUCCUAAAUCUAAUCACAUGAGCCUAAUUAACAAAAAUAUGUGGUUUCCAAGAAAAAUUACACCUCUAGUUUAUUAGGAUUUGAGGAAAAUAUAAUUAGAGUUUAACAAAAUUAUGAUGAAUGUAAAGGCGAGUUUAAAAAGUAAAAAUUCUGUUUUUUCUUUUUCCUUUUUAUUAUAUUUUAAUGUCCAUAAUUGUAAUUUAAUUUAAGGUAUUUUAAUAAAAAAAUUAUUUUUAAAAGUAAAUUUAAUGAGUAAUUUGGUGGGUUCAAAUAGCCCCACCCUAAUUUAAUGCAUAUUUUGGAUAUUUUAAGGGGAAUAGGUAUAUCCCACACAAUUUCCCCGCCAUGAAGUGCCAAUAUUGUUCUCCAUCCUUUCUACAUAUAUAUCUUUUCCAGAUAAAUAUUUGCAGAAGUGAGGUGGGGAGGCCCUCCUAAAAUAUACUUAAGCUUCGAACAAUCAGGCGUUUCAGAUUUGAAAGUUGGAAAUCACCAGUUCAGCCAGAGAGGAAGGAAUCCUCGUUCCUUUCUCCUCUACUGGAUAUGAACCCCACAUCCUCACAUACUCUGCGGAUUACAAGUCGUCUGAGAUAGCCGAAUCUGUGCAAUCCCACUCGAACAGUGCUUUGCGAAUCUCCAGAUCCUGAAGCUCGAGUGAAUCAAAGUUGGCAGAGAAAGCCAUCCUCUGGGGAAACAUGCCAAUAUUAGAUUUUCCAGUGCUAAAUGUUCAAGAGAGGUCAGAUUGUGCAAGCCGUUGGGCAAAGCCUCUAGUUUCUCACAACAACUUAGACGUCGUUCCUCCUUUGGGGAAAGACAAAAAGAUGAUCACACUACCAAAUUGUUUACUCUUGAAGAUGGUGGAGCUUAUGCACUCACCAGGUAAACCUUUAUGAUUUUCACAGCUCCAAAAUAUAAUUCUUUCAAGAGAUAUGUUAACCGCAAGGUGCCGAAGUGUGGCAGGCAACUCGGUUUCUGAAAAAUGAGGAUGUGAUAGAUGGACAAUAUACAUACAUACAAGGCAAUAGUAGUUACAAAAUAUUAGUAAUCCACUUUUGUAAUAGCAUGUCUCAAAUUUGUGAUAGAACACCUAGUAUUUGAAAACUUACCUUCUAUUUACAUCGGAUCAAAACAAACUUAAUCUUCUCAGCUGGGAUUGCCGCUACGAUAAAGGAGAAAUCUAGUUAAAUUAUGAGGGGGGUAAAAAUGAAAAUCCCCAUUACACAGUGAAUAACUCCAUCAGCGCACAAGGUAAGAUGACGACACUAUCACCAUCACGAGGGACCUCGGGCUGUGUGUAUAUAUAUAUAUAUAUGGGUGUGUGUGUGUGCAUGUAUUAUACAUUCAAAAAUGGGGACUGCUACAACAUUAAUUACUGGAUCUGAUACAGUUGCACUACUAGUUACAAUCUGGAGUUACAGAUGGAGUGGACGAUUGGUUGUUAGUCUCGCCACCGGAAGUACAUAUCUUGAUAUAUGAACGUGCCGUUUCUAACAUCAGCUCAACUUCUUUCUUGUACUGGCAUAGAACAAAAGAAUUCAUUGCUUACUAAAUUCAUUCAUAUUUCAAAAAUUAUGGAGUUCAUUUUUCAUUGUAAUAAAACAAAGAUUAAAAGGAAAAUUGUACAAUCAGAGUACCAACCUUGUUAACAGCACCUGUCUUGAUUUUGAAUUGUAUGACACACCAUUUCUUAAAAUGGGCACCUGCAGAUACUGCAGAAACAGUAAAUUCCAAGCACUAGAAUUAAAAAAGAAAAGCACAGUUGGAAUUGCUCAAUAUUUUGACCCAAAUGUUGAAUGCAAUGCAACAGUAAGAUUCUAACAUCUUCGGCAUUAAUAUACAUGCUUCUGUGUGCUCAUAGGACUCCAUGACAAUUCUUGAUGCAAGCUUGCUUCAACCAUUAUUAGGGCAUGAAAAAUCAUCUCACCAAUUGGAAAAGAUAGUCAAAGAGAUGAACAUCAAACCAAAACUUACCCACUUUAAUAUCAAUAGCAGAGGAAUUUUCAGCAACGGUCUCCAAAUGCCAUCGACAAUGAAUCUGAUACAGCAGGACAAUUACAUUGCAUGAACAAAGUGGAAUAUUUCUCUUAUAGGUUACAACCCUCUAAGCAAGGAAAUACAACCAGAAAGUACGUUAUUCUAAAAUAUUUUGGAAAAUGCUGGUUCACCUAUCUUAGCGCAGAAACAAAGUAAUGAUGACCAUACAAAUUUUAUAUAUGUCAGACGUUCUACUUAUUUAUUUUUUGAACAUAAUAAAAUAAAACGAAAUAAUUUGUCUUGUUUAAUUCAAUUAACAUUAACAUCUAAUAAGAAAUGUGAACCGAAAGUAUGAUGUCCAAAUAGAAACAUAUUUCAUACCUCAAAGUAAGACCCGAAUGGAACGUCAUGUGCCUGUUGGACUGUCUCAAAAACCUAAAAGAAAAGACACAUGUUUAAUCCAAAAUUUACAAGAAAAAAUCAUUGACGUCAGAUUUUAACAAGCAAGGUACCAUUUGAAGAUAAUAAGACAGAAAUAAUAACAAAGAGAAUUUUUUAAAACUAUAGAUAAUAAAGAAGAAAAAACAAUAGCAAGCACAUUAUCAAUGUUGCCAAAAAUUUAAGGCAAUGAGACAGAUAGCCUUACAAAUAUUUUCUUAUCUGGUGAUAAAACUGCAUGCUGAUACUCCGUCAUGGCUGUGUCAGGUGGACACAUGGGACUGUUACAGAGAGAUCUAAAUGUGAUCUCUCUUACUUGACCAUCAUAUUCAUCUGCAGCAUGCCACUGUCCCAUCUGGAUAAAGCAUGAGAUAGUAAGCAAAUAUUUCAAUAUCAACCAACCGAUAUUCAGAAUCCAGAAAUAAAAUCUUCUUCUUAGAUGGAAAAGCACACGGAACUGGAAGGAUAAGUGAUCCAUAUGGAUAAUCAUCAGAAACAAAACUGCUUACCCGGACCCUUAUCAACCCCCAACCC